UAUUGCACUUGUCCCGGCCUGGUU
RNAcentral lists this microRNA (24 nucleotides) under Macaca fascicularis (crab-eating macaque). RNAcentral's name for it is "piRNA piR-mfa-413679". Lineage: Eukaryota; Metazoa; Chordata; Mammalia; Primates; Cercopithecidae. The record is from RNAcentral. RNAcentral also lists the same sequence under 5 other names.